Molecule: ribosomal RNA, 2067 nt
Filed under: Triticum aestivum (bread wheat)
Lineage: Eukaryota; Viridiplantae; Streptophyta; Magnoliopsida; Poales; Poaceae
Description: partial small subunit ribosomal RNA
Source: RNAcentral
AUGGAGACGUCUCACAUUUGGAGAGGAGCUCUGCAAUGGUGGGACGAUUGGCAGCUGCGCGUGCUCGUCCUGGGCAGCCUGGGCCUUCAGUGGUUCCUCCUGCUGGCUGCCCCCAUGCACAAGUACGCCCUCCCGCGCGUCUUGAGGACAUUCAUCUGGCUGGCAUAUAUUUCCAGUGAUCCUCUGGCAAUAUACGCGCUGGCCACCCUCUUCAAUCGCCACGCAAAGACCAGCAACUCUGGCGGUGACACUCACACUGUCACCGGGACCGGGAGCGAGCAGCAGUCGAGCAUCCUGGAGGUCCUAUGGUCUCCUAUCCUUCUCAUCUACCUCGGUGGGCAGGAGGGAAUGAGUGGCUACGAGAUAGAGGACAACAAGCUGUGGGGGAGGCACACCGUGACCUUGGUGUCCCAGGUGGCUGUCGCCUUGUACGCCUUCUACAAGUCGUGGCCCAGAUCCAACGACCCAAAGCUAUUGGUGGUCGCGGUUCUUCUCUUCGUCGUCGGGGUCAUCAGCUUCAGCCAGAAGCCAUGGGCUCUCAAAGCUAAAGCCAGGAGACUGGCGGCUGUAUCGUCCGGGGUGCAAGGACCAAAGAAGCCUUCCAACUGGAAGGAGCGCAUGAACCAGUUUUUCUUUGGGGCGAGCCACUGCUUCACCGGCACCCGGAAGGCACAAAACAUGUCUCUGCUAGCUGCUGCCAAGGACCUGGUAGCACAAAAGAAGACUGGCAGGGUGAAGGACGUUCUGGGACCUCUGCCCGUCGCUGAGAGAGCCUUGCUGGGCUGGCUGCGGAUCAUAUUCGCAUUCCACUACACCAGAGAGCAUGUAGUUGGAGGUCCCAAUCCUCUCUACCUGCUCUAUCAUCGGUUGAUGGUCCCGAUCCUGCACAUCACCGCUCUGACGCUGUUUGCAAUGAGCGGCAAGCACCAGUACAAGCACACUGACGUGAAGAUAACAUACAUCAUUCUGUGCCUCACCGCCGCCAUGGAUGUCCUCGCACCAUCCAUCCACCGGCUCAUAUACUGGCUAAUGUCCAAGACAAAUGCUACAGCCCUGUGCGAGACAGUACCCAGCUACAACCUCAUAGACACCGCUCUUCGGGAAGGUGACAAGAGCAUCGGGUGGAUUUACAUGUGUGCCAGGAGCAUGGGCUUCAAUUGUAAUUUCAACAGCUUUUGCAGGCCUCAACUUGGUCAAGUGUACUACAGAAAGGUCACACAAACUGUGAUUGCAGAUCUGGUGGAUGCACUAGACCGAGACCUUGCGAGUUACAGGAUCUUCAAUUCCACCAACUGGGCUCUAAGCGAGGAGCAGCAAGAGCAUUGUGGCGUGGAGAUAAAAAAAUGCUUACGCAUCUCAUUCGACCGGAGCGUCCUCCUAUGGCACAUUGCCACUGAUCUUUGCUUCCGCUGCUGCAUUGGCGAUGACUUGGUCGAUGAUGUUGGUGAAGAAGCAGGAUAUGGGAGAGGACUACAAGGAGAAGGAAGGGAAGAAUUUGACGAAGGAGGAGAAGAAGAAGAAAUGAGGGGGGACCCAUCAUUACAGCUUCAUAUGGAGUGCACAUUUGCAAUAUCCAACUACAUGGCACACCUGCUCAAUUUCAACCCCGAGAUGCUUCUGACUGGCAGCAGGCACCAUCUGAUCUCCGAAGCCAUGGAGGAAAUCAAGUCCUCCUUUCGGGCCAAGAAAGAUAAAUUGAGCCAAAAAGAGCAACUCAAGGAGCUCAUUGCCGCCAUGGCAGAGGGUGAUCACAAGUCAGUUAAUGGACAUGAUGACACAAGCCAAGGUUUCGUCCACAUCACAGAGGCAUGCAAGCUUGCGAAAGAGCUGUUGGAGCUGCCAGACCGGACUCGCUGGAUGCUCAUGUACCGGGUGUGGCUGGGCAUGCUCUGCUACUCCGCCAGCAAGUGCAGGGGCUACCUGCACGCCAAGAGCUUGGGUGAAGGUGGAGAGUUCCUCACUUACGUCUGGCUCGUGCUCAUGCUCAAGGGGGCCAAGAGCUUGGUCGACAAGCUUCAGAUGCCGCCGGAGACCCAAGCUUCCGACGAUGCCGGAUCACAAGCAUGA